Molecule: RNA transcript, 8451 nt
Organism: Tyto alba (common barn owl)
Lineage: Eukaryota; Metazoa; Chordata; Aves; Strigiformes; Tytonidae
Gene: EAF1
Gene name: ELL associated factor 1
Exons: 9
Source: RefSeq, a predicted model, not a curated record
UCGGUCCCCGGAAGGGCGCCGGGCGGCAGCGCACGGAGGAGAGGAAGGGACUGGCCGGGCCGGGAGGGGAGGGGACGGGCCGGGACCGGGGACAUGAACGGCUCGGCGAACUCGGUGCUGGAUAAGGAGGAGCACUCGCUGCAGCUGGGCGAGAGCUUCGAGCGGCGGCCCAAGGCCUUCUUCCACACCAUCCGCUAUGAUUUUAAGCCAGCAUCGCUUGAUACAGCUUGUGAAGGGGACCUCCACGUGGGUAAAGGAGAAGACGUAACAAUCACUUUGCCACAUAUUCCAGGUUCAACUCCACCAAUGACUGUGUUUAAAGGAAAUAAAAGGCCAUAUCAGAAGGACUGUGUGCUUAUUGUCAAUCAUGAUACUGGGGAAUAUAUGCUGGAAAAACUUAAUAGCAGCAUUCAAGUCAAGAAAACAAGAGCAGAGGGAAGCAGUAAGAUCCAAGCUCGAAUAGAACAACAGUCUGCUCGAGCAUCUCAGCCUCCUUCACAGUUCAGAGCCCCAACCAAGCCAGCAGUUGGACCUAAAACUUCUCCUCUGAAAGAUAAUCCUUCGCCUGAGCCUCAGCUGGAUGACAUUAAGCGAGAGCUGAGAGCAGAGGUUGAGAUUAUCGAGCAGAUGAGCAGCAGCAGUGGAAGCAGCUCAUCGGAUUCAGAAAACUCAUCUGGGAGUGAAGAUGAAAGCUCCAGCAGUGAGGGGGAAGAGCCAGCACAUGUUUCCCCUUCCCAGCCACCGCACCAGCAGUACAACAACAGGAAUGCUGUUGCUAAUGGCACCAGCAGACCACAAGGAAGCAAUCAGCUCAUGAACACGCUCCGAAAUGACUUGCAGUUGAGUGAGUCUGGGAGCGACAGUGAUGACUAGAGGCUGAGCUUUUGCUGUUUCUGUUACAUAUACAUGAAGAACUAAUUUACCUUGAAGUAAUCCUAUUGCUUAGGAAGAGGAGCUGGCACAGAGAUAGUUCCAUGUGUGGAAUUUCAAUAGAAGAAAUGCAUAGGCCUACAAAAUAGCAGAUGUUGAGGGCUGUUUUACUUUGUGAAUUAAGUGUAUAUUUUGUGGAUAUUCUUAUUCUUCUAAAACUUUAGACAUGUACAGUGGGUGAGCCAAUAUAUCUUCCUAUGUUCCUGUCCAUCAUCUGUAAGUUUAAUGUGUAACUAUAUGAUACCAUCUGAAAAUGUCUUGUUUGUAGAAGAUACUCAGCCCAUCAUGACUAGGGGGGGACGCUUCUGUAUAUAGGGUGAGCAUGAGCCAACAAUGAGUUUAAAAAAAUAUGCAGGAGCUAGUGUGUGCACUGAAGUGGGACUGUCGUAAAUUAAGUUUUAAUACUAAGUUGAUUUCUUUGGUUUGGGACUUUUAAUUGCUAUUUAUGUUUGAUUUAAUGGACUUACUUUUAAACAGUUGGAAAAUAGAAAUUAUAAAAUCAUGUUCAUUGCAAACCUUGCUGCACCAGUGCCUUAUAAGCAGGUUUUUUAAAUAGUGCUUCCAUUCCUGCCAACUUUCCUAUAGGGAGCAAUACUGAGACCUCCUCAGAUUACUUUGGCGAACAAGAGCUGUAUUUCAUAUACAGCCAGCUGUUCUCUGAGGACAGUUAUUCUGGAAAGAUAAAGGAUAUACAUCAGUCACCUGAACACAUCCAAAUUAGAACCAGAUCAGCAUUUUCUCUUGCAACUGAAGUGUCUCAUUUAACUCAGACACUCGGACCCAGUCUUCAGAAAGAUUGAGGAGCCCCAUUACCGGUGAAAUUGUAAUGUCACAAAUACAAUAUUUUGGCCUUACUGAAACUGUAAGAUCAGAGCCCUCUUUGCAGUUUCCUAGAGAAUGCAGAAAGAAGAGAUGAUUAAGCAGUUAACUAUGAAACAGUCUCUCUCCCACCACAGUUGUCCAGGUAGACUUUAGUCCAUAUUGUUUGUUGGAUGGGAUCUCUGUGCUUGGCAGGAGUACACAGAACAUGAAAUAUUUGCCUAGGAUGAAAUUCACCUCUGUUUAAGGGGGUUUAAAGGGUGCUUAGGUGGAUUAUCAUUAACUUCUUGCUUGCCUGGAAAAUGAGUGCCACAGGCGGCCUCUUACAGCUUGAACAGCGGGCUGACAUUUUAAAACCAAAACUCAACUAGCAUAGGACAAGUGGCACCAGCGCUGUGGUGUAAUCCCAGGGAAUGGGAAGCCAAGUGGGAUGCCUCUCCCUUCUUAAGUGUCUGCUUUGCACUGCUUUUGUCUGUCUGUUAGUUUGUGUUUUGACUCCUGUUUGUUUACUGAGCUCUUUCCUUUAUUUUUUAAGGUGUUGAAGAGCAAGGGGACAUUUGAACGGAGAUUUUAUUAAAUGGUUUAUUUUUUUGCAUUAGAUACAUAUUCAGGCAUAUUUUUGCAUUAUUGUACAUACAUUUUAAAAUACUUGUUUUUUUUAAAUUGUUUUGUGAUGUGGGUACAUAUUUUAACAGAAAGUUAUGAAAUAUACUUGAUGUAAAGCCACAAUUGCUCUCUCUUUUUUUUUUUUUUUUUUCUUUUUUUUCCUCCCUUUUCUUCCUCUGACCGUAAAAGUGCUCUGUUUUAACAAGGUUGUACCAAUUUGUGAUUUUACACUUUGGCGCAGGAGAUCUUCAUGGUAGUUGGCGGUCUAAUUAAUGCUAAUACUGCUCCUGACUUUUCCCCAGCUGAAGAUCUGAAUAAGCAGGGAGAUACUUCUCGAUGCCAUUUCCCCAUUACUGGAGCUUACUCCUGAGUUCUGUUGACAAUAUUUGUGCUUAGAUGGAAAAGCAUCAGUGCAGCAUUUUCACUGCUUAUCAUUCACUUGCUGCACACGCACUCUAAAAAUCCAGGACGCGUCAUAGGAAGUUCACUAAUUAUGUGUAAAUAAAGUAUGUGAAACUUAAGAGGAUAAGACAAUACCAGGCUGCAUUGAUUUGAAUCACCAAUUUAAUUAUGCUUUAGAUCAGCAAGUGGGAAAGCUUCAUUCAGGGAAUGAAUUUCUGCCUUGUUUUGUAUUUGUACUCCAAGUCACGUUGCCCUGCUGUCCCUCCCUAAAAGAUUUCUUCCCCUCCCUGUUUGUUGGCAGCCAAAAUCAACAUAUUUUCACACAUCUCCACCACUUUUAAAGUACAUUUGUCCAUCCUUCGCAUCCCCUGGAGAUGCAUCGUAUCGAGGGUGACCAGCCUACUGUCUCUGAGCUGUUCAGCUGCACGUCCCGGACGGCAUCAUCUGGCUUCCCACGGGGCUGGUGAGUAACGUGGUGGGCGUCAGCAAGCCAGUCCCCACGCCUGUGUGACCCAGCCUGUCCCCUCCCUGCCACUGUGCCCUGAGGGGCUCCCGGCAUCUCCUGCCUGAGAAGCCCUCCGGGAUCCCCACCCUUCCCACAGCUCUCAAAGGUGCGUGGAAUGUGUUUUUCGAGGGUGAACCAUGUGGAGACUUCAGCAGGCAACUUGUAAGAUCAGUAGGAGCGGGCACCGCUUUUUUUCCUCGUUCUAAAUACACACCACAUGUAUGCUUUCUGCUGCCAAAGUCCUGCAGGAGUUUACAGGAGAGGAGGGUUAUGCAAAAGACUAAGGUUCUUCACCUCAGGAAUGGAGCCAGAUUUUUCUUCCACACUACUAGGGCUGGACUCAGCAUCAUAAACAAACUGGUGUAAAGAAGACAAUAAAGCCAUUAAACACUAGCCAGUCAAGAUACCAGGUUUGGUGGUUAGUUAAUCCAGCCAGUGAACUCACUUCUCAAAUGCCAUCAAGAGAUUUUAAGGCGCAGUAAAUAUGCUGUAGCUGUGUCUACGCCGGCAAGUUGUACAGCCUGGGAGCAGAUCCAUACUGCCGAAGGGUGCUGAGAUUGCAACGUGUGCACCAUCCACCUCUCCUCUGAGAGCAUCCACCUCAUGUGCCCUCUCCCUGAUGCAAACCACAGCAGGGAGAAACUUAUAUUUUCACAGGCUUUAAGGCACAAACAGCAUUCCUAUGUAAUACACACAAAUCUCCAUCUUAUAAGGUGCUAAGUGACGAUGCCAAAUCAAAAAGAAGGCUGUCGGCAGCAGAGCUAGGACCAGGCUGCAGAUUUUCUCACAUAAUCCUUAUAGCAGCCUCAUGCCUGCGACACCAGUGCAGGGCUUGCCCCUACGGGAAGGUAUCCCAACAGACUGAAGCUGGGAACCAGUCUGACUUUCAGAGAAGAGCUUCUAGUUACAGAUGAAUGAUUUUUUUUUUUUGCUUUUAGAAGCUUAGGCUAAAUUUGGGAAGAGGAGCUUCCCUUGCCAUGGGGUGUUGACCUGGCCGAUGUCACUGCUGUCACUGCCUGCACUCAGUUUUUCAUCACUCUUCCCCUAAAGCAAGUGACUGUAACAGAAACAGGUGAUGUUUCCAACGUCAGUGUGGAACUACCAACAGAGCAAUUGCAAGAGAAGUUAGGACGAGGUGUGGGCCUGUGUCUGUGCUUGGGAAAAGACCCUCGGGGUACCAUGUGCCCGGUACUGCUGUGUCUGUGUCAGUUCAUACCAGCACUUGUCCCACUACCUUUUUUUCCUCUGCACACAAUACAGUCGAUUUCCCUCUGCUUCUCCCAGCCAUUAGAAGGAAGAUAAAUCACUGUAGUUAAAAUCACAAGUCCUCGUAAAAACCUGUUUGUGCCCAGAAAGCUAAGUAUCAGAGCCUGCCUGAAGCUUAGGAAGAAGUGGCAUCUUUUUCAAUAAAUUUACAUCUCUAAAUAGAUGAUAAGUGUUGAAUCAAUUUCCAUAUGUUUAAAAUAGCAGAGCAUUAAGGAUUCUGGCACUUCAAGCAAUCAACUAAUUUGGGACUAUUAUGAGAAUAUCUUUUAUACUAGUGGAGCAAUCAUCUGAAAAUCAGGGACAGUCUGCAGCUCUGUGCCCUUUCAAUAUCAUAAAGGAUUGCAAAUCGACAAAAAAAGCCCUGUUUGUUUUCCUGAAGACAUUAUGGUGCCUUAUGACAUUCAGGUCUUUGCAAAAUCACCUUUCAGCUCUUAAUAAGCCAAGUCAUAAUAUACCCCCCACUUGGCUUGCCUGGCCACACGGUCUGCUCAUGGCUACACAGAUCCAACGAUAAACAAGUGUUGGCAGAUACUGCCGGGGGAAAAAGACAGGAACUGUGGUGUACCAACCUCUACGUCCAAAAAAGAUGCAAGGGCAGAACAGUGCUCUCCUCGCAGUUUCUCCCAUUCCUGUAGCCAGCCUGCGCUCGCUAAGCCUCACCUCUGGGCACGUCUGGCUGGCUGCUUGCUGACCCUCAGCUGGCGGGCCCUCAAAAAGGCUCACAACUCUUCGUUCCUACCAUCUCAACUAAUUUUGAGAUGAGUCACAUCGUCUUCAAAAGGGCACUGAACAUUAAGCGUGUACAGAGCCUGUGCUUCAGAAAGUUUCAAGGAAAAUCAACUUCUUUCAAAACCAGCUGGUGUUGGUUUCACCCUCAUGGAGCAGGAUGAAGGCUUCGUGCAGGGCUUUGAGGGUCACUAUAAAGGGAUGAAAAUAUCUACAGAGCUCCAGGUGAAGUGAUCCACGGCAAAUCCAGACUCUUGUAUCACCCUGUUUGCCGAGUCAUCAAAUAUUUCCAUCGUAUUUCAGUACACAGCUCACAGAUGUAAUGUGCCAUCGCUUUAAAAAAUGCAUAGCACUAUCGAGCCUGGAGAUGCUCCACUGUUACUGCACAGCACCCAGCACCGUGGUGUGAUACUGCUGGUCUGGGUGUCAAGAGCAAUAGAGGCUUCAAAACUGCCUGUUUGCACGACCAGGAAGAUGUCAGGGCAUCAGUAUAUUCUCCCUCACUUUUGGCACAUGAUCUUCCUAUUCCUACAAAGCAGGGACUUUGAGGAGGACAGAUCUGGGGGUUGUUUGAUGACUUUUUAAAAUUUAAGUUCAUAUUUUGGAGCAGGCAAUGCCACCAGGGAAGGCUGCUAAUUAGCAACUGGGUUUUGCAUAGCCCAGAUCUUCAUCGUUAUUUAUGUGCUUGAUUUCUUACUGCCAAAGCAACAGGAUGUUCAACCAUUGCCUUCAAAGGGAAGAUGUCAGGGUUUCUGAGAGAAGCAGGAUCUUAAUUCUGUAUAAAUUUUUUAACUAAUAUUUUUUGGUAGUUUAAAAUGAAAAACCGUGCAUUUCUAAGUCACCUUCCCUCUACAACAUCUUGGCUUGGAUCAUUCUUCACAGUUUUCUUGCUCUUUCCUCAACUCCAUUUACCAUGGCAAUGGGCUAUAAAAAAGCAACCCAAAGCAAAGAUGACAGCCACAGCUACAUUCCUCAUUAAAGGCAAGAAAAACACAAAUUGCUGUCUGGAUGCUCUGUAAAGCUGAGUAUCCUCAGGAGCAGGGAAGUCGGGUGGGGAACAAUUUGCAAGAUACCAGUGUGCUGGCUCCUGGCCUCCAGCCUCAGGCGAUGAUGUGGUUGGGGUUGUGUGCUGGGAAGGAUGCAUCACCCAAUGGAUGGGUUGGAAAUAAUAUAGCAGCCAGGAAUUUGUCACUUUUUAGUAACCUCAGUGUAGAUGCUCGGCAGUUAAAAGCUGAUCUACUGAGCAACAGUCACUCAGCUUGAGCCCCUGGAAGAACCCACUGCUGCUGUGCUGCAGUAGGACUUUUAAUGCUGUUAGAGGCUUGGUGAAAACGUGUGUGGAGCUGUGAUGGUGCAAGCACCACUGAAAGCCCUGCACAGAUCAGGCCUUUGCAGGGACAGCUGUUUCAGCACCUCUCAGGCAAGUGCAAUAGUCAAAGCUCCGGACAUGGGAAAUGCAACAUUGCAAAUGAGCUGGUACUGUAAGAAAUAUUUUCUUUUUCAAUGUCUGUGGUGUAAAAAAGGUCUAUGAGUUGGCCAUCAGGGAAUCAGCCCCCCUUGCCCAUUUCCACCCACCCCCCAGGACUUCUGGAUCCUUUUCUGGAGCAAGGGAACCAGUCUUUCCUUAGGAGACCAAACUGUGGAGACAGCGUAGAGAUGCAAGAGAACAAGCUGUUGCAGUACAGCAAUUAAGGGUGUAUCUCUAAGAAUUUACUGGCGCUCACCCUCCUGACCUUUCUGUAUCUAGAUCAGCAGGAAGGGUGCGUAACGAGGGCUGCGGGAGGGCAGUCGGGUUCUUACAGCUGGUCAGGCGAAUUAAUGUGAAUUGCUUGGCAGUUCACCAAAAGCAGACCGGUGAGGGUUCUUCAUGAGAAAAAAAAGAGAAAAAAAAAUCUUGAAGGUGGCCAGUCCAUGCACUAGAUUUGUUAGAUUUCUAACCUGCUGUAGAGGAGAACAGUGGUUCAGUGUUUCGGAGAGACUCCACAGCUGCAGGUAAUUUGCCUUUGACACAUUUCAGAAACCCUUCUGCUCCUCCACCUUCCGCAGCUUCUCGCUCCCCCUCUCCUGCAUCCCCUUUCCCCGUGUCAUUUAAUGUCGCUGAGUCCUGGGGAACAGGGGAACCGUAAACACCUAGUGAGGUGUUCUUCCCUUCCUCACUUGAGCACAGGGCUGUCGAGUUUCCAGCCUUCUAGACUGUGCUCAGCACCAGGCAUCUCAGAGGCAAAGGCUUUUGUAAAUGUAACUCCCGGGAACCGGACACCUGAUACUUUAAAAACCUUCCCUUCCACACCUCCUCCAAUCCAUGCAAAUGGGAGAAUGGGUUUAUCCACUCAAUCCUCAUGCUGUCAUUCACCUUUGGCCUGACAAUUUAUAUUCUGGCAAUGUGGAGAACCUGCAUAAAACCAGAAGUCACCUGUAAAACGCCGAUACUUGUAUUUCUCAUUCAACUAGCAUGGCUCUGGCAGUGCGUGUGCUCUCCCUUACUAAUAUUCUCCAUACGUUCUUCAAAGUGAAAUGCUGUUUCCAGCAGGCGAUAGUUACUGGCUAGUAGCAUCCCUCUGAAAUGAUCUAGCAACAUUUCCCUGACCUCAAGAUGGCCUGGAUUGGGGUGAUGGAAAGCACCAGGGCGGUUUGUGUCCCAGAGGGGGAUGGAAAUGGAAGUGCAUCCCCUCAGGGUAGGGGGAAAUACCUUCCCUCUGGUGUGGCUUCCCUUCUGCAAGCUGUCCUUGCCACGGCAGACAGCUUCUUGACCUCCCCUCUCCUCCUCUCCCAAGAAGACAGCUGCUCCCCUUACGUGGCCAUCCUUUGGGGCAUGGACACUCCUUGGUAUUUGGAGCAAAUCUGAAGCAAAACCAUGUGCGUGACUUACACAGUAUUUUAGAAAAGCUGAGGCACAGUACAGCACUGCUGGCCACCUGCCCACCUACUCAAACGAGCAGCGAGUGCUUCUGCUUUUGAGGGGUGUCAGGGGCACCGCGCCUGCUUCGUCUCUGCGUUGCCAUCCCUCGGCCCCUGGCAUCGGCGCGACAGCCAGGGCCACCGAGCCUGCCUUGCUCUGCAAGCAGCACUUCUGCAGGUGGCUUUCUAGCGUUGCCAGAAUGACCAUCCUUUACCGGGUUGUUUCUAUAAUCUGCUUUUGGGGUACAGGUGUAAAGGCAAAGAGACUUGUCACAUGUAAAUAAACAGAUAAACACGGC